UCGUAACAAGGUCUCCGUUGGUGAACCAGCGGAGGGAUCAUUACCGAGUUUACAACUCCCAAACCCCUGUGAACAUACCUUAUGUUGCCUCGGCGGAUCAGCCCGCGCCCCGUAAAAAGGGACGGCCCGCCGCAGGAACCCUAAACUCUGUUUUUAGUGGAACUUCUGAGUAUAAAAAACAAAUAAAUCAAAACUUUCAACAACGGAUCUCUUGGUUCUGGCAUCGAUGAAGAACGCAGCAAAAUGCGAUAAGUAAUGUGAAUUGCAGAAUUCAGUGAAUCAUCGAAUCUUUGAACGCACAUUGCGCCCGCCAGUAUUCUGGCGGGCAUGCCUGUUCGAGCGUCAUUUCAACCCUCAAGCCCAGCUUGGUGUUGGGAGCUGCAGUCCUGCUGCACUCCCCAAAUACAUUGGCGGUCACGUCGAGCUUCCAUAGCGUAGUAAUUUACACAUCGUUACUGGUAAUCGUCGCGGCCACGCCGUUAAACCCCAACUUCUGAAUGUUGACCUCGGAUCAGGUAGGAAUACCCGCUGAACCUAAGCAUAUCA
RNAcentral lists this unclassified non-coding RNA (546 nucleotides) under Fusarium graminearum. RNAcentral describes it as "sequence contains 18S rRNA gene, ITS1, 5.8S rRNA gene, ITS2, 28S rRNA gene". The stretch from base 192 to 345 matches the Rfam family "5.8S ribosomal RNA". RNAcentral also lists the same sequence under 1 other name. Lineage: Eukaryota; Fungi; Ascomycota; Sordariomycetes; Hypocreales; Nectriaceae. The record is from RNAcentral.